UACGUAGGUGGCAAGCGUUGUCCGGAUUUACUGGGCGUAAAGAGCGCGCAGGCGGUCGUCCAAGUCGCGUGUGAAAGCCCCCGGCUCAACUGGGGAGGGUCACGCGAUACUGGUCGACUCGAAGGCAGGAGAGGGUAGUGGAAUUCCCGGUGUAGUGGUGAAAUUCGUAGAUAUCGGGUGGAACACCUGUGGCGAAGGCGGCCAUCUGGACGUUCACUGACGCUGAGACGCGAAAGCGUGGGUAGCAAACAGG
Molecule: ribosomal RNA, 253 nt
Filed under: uncultured bacterium
Lineage: Bacteria
Description: partial 16S ribosomal RNA
Rfam family: Bacterial small subunit ribosomal RNA
Source: RNAcentral